Solenopsis invicta (red fire ant) is the source of this 1581-nucleotide long non-coding RNA. RefSeq lists it as uncharacterized. NCBI's taxonomy places the organism in Eukaryota, Metazoa, Arthropoda, Insecta, Hymenoptera, Formicidae. The record is from RefSeq and is a predicted model, not a curated record. The transcript has 3 exons.
GCUCUUGCUCCACCUUCACCAGCUGCGUGUACGGGCGCACAUGGGUAUCUCUGCGGGCAUAUACUGGCCUGUCCGAUCUGCUUGGUCCAGCAUCCCAGGAGUGUAGCCAUCCUCUCGUCGGCGAGUUUCUGUAUCCGUAUGCUGCGCGAUUUUUAUCUCAUAGUAGAGACCCGAAGAAAUGGAGAUCGGUCUUGGGUCACAAUCGCGUGACCUAAUUGUAAAGAAGUCUUUUUGGAGAUGACUGCUAAGAAGACACGCAGGUUCCGGGAUCGGGAGAUGGCAGAGUACCACCGGUUUCUGUGUACAAUUACAAAAUUACGUGUCCUGACCGGACGCAUGGAAGCGAGAUUUUUUGGAACUGGUUACGGUGGCACCACGCGCGUUGAGCUUCUCUCAUCGACGGUGAAAGUUGCCCGGCGUGAAAGUGUGCCUUUCUUCUUCCGUUCACUGAUUCAUGUCGCCCAAUACCUGGCAUAGAGGAGAGAGAUACGAGGACGAGGACAAUUAUUUAUUUCUCAACAACUCGCGAGGAACGCGGAACCGGACGACAGAGAUGCAUCCGAUCGCGUCCAUACUCUCGCGCGCGAAAAUUCCAUUUUCUCGGAUUCGCAGAAAGGAAAAUCUCAACUUACUCAGGAUCACUGACGAAGACAUCUCCGUUCGAAAGGAAGAGGGAAAAUAAAGGCUUAUCCCGCGGACAUCCCCAGCGUUUUGUUUGUCACAACGUCGCGGACGGCACCCGUGACACCAGGGGCACGAGAGACGCGGCGCCGAACUAUUUUAGCUAAGAAUUGUCGCGCGAGAGCGCCGGCGAGUUAUGCAUGGUGCGUCGAGAGCGGCGAGAGAAACAGAAAGAGAGAGAAAGAGAACGAGAGUGACAAUUGUGGCGGGGAGAGGGCACGACACCGGCAGCAAAAGAAAAAAGAAAAAAGAAAAAAAAAGAAAGGAGAAAAGAAAGAAGAGAUCGGUAAAAGAAGGAAGCAAUCGCGGUUGCACAGGACAGACGGACGGAUCGACCCGGCCACGACAACUGUCCGUGAAAAGACCUCGACACACUUUACUCUCAACGGAAGACCGCGACCGAUCGACUCAUUCGCUCACUCUCUCCCGUUCUUCCUCCUUCUUUCUCCGAGGCGCCGCCGUCCCUGGUCACCUCAAGGGAAAGUGGUGCUCCUUCUACCACCUUCCACCGCCAAUCUGAUACUCCGCCUUUCGAUGACGAUUCGUCACCACGACGCGCUGGAAUGUUCCCGCGGAACGGCGAGUCUUCUCUCGGAUGAUGCGUGAACAUUGUGGAUCCGUUCGCGAGAUCCGCGUAUCUUCGUUCCUGGAGAAAGGAAGUGAGCCAAGCGAGCCAAGAGCUGUAAUAUUUUCUAAAUUUAUUCAUGUUACUGCGACAGUUGUCGUUACAUCAAGUUUCCUUUUGCGUUUCGCUGUAUAAAGUAGGCGUAGCGCUACCGCAUUAUUUAACACGUACAAUUUGUCUUCCGCGAUCCCGGAAUCCAAUAUGCAGAUCCCAAUCAUGCUCCAAUUUAAAAAAAGAGAAUGAUUUUCUUCGAAGAAUACAAGAAAAUUAUGCGA